GGCAACUUCAUCAAUGAACUGAAGGGAAGAUGGCAAGAUUUCUGCCAGAAGGUGCAGUUUUUUGGUGUAUGGAAAAAGACGCUGAAGCCCCCAAUGGGACUGGAUAAAGCUGAACAGGCUCUUGAGAUCCUGCGUGUGCUGCCAUCACUGUUCCCAUCCACCUCUGCUCCUCCAAAGAGGGCACGGGAUGCGAGUGAGGCUCUGGUGCAUGUCCUUGAGGACCAAGAAGACCCUAAUACCUAUUUGAUGAAACGUCCUCUCUCCUGCCCAGUCCUGAUCGUGAGUCCGUCCAACUGCAUCCUAGCGGUAGGAGAUGUGCCAAUAACCACGUUUCCA
Long non-coding RNA from Pelmatolapia mariae (spotted tilapia), 336 nucleotides. RefSeq lists it as uncharacterized. The record is from RefSeq and is a predicted model, not a curated record. The transcript is spliced from 3 exons. NCBI's taxonomy places the organism in Eukaryota, Metazoa, Chordata, Actinopteri, Cichliformes, Cichlidae.